Molecule: long non-coding RNA, 830 nt
Filed under: Felis catus (domestic cat)
Lineage: Eukaryota; Metazoa; Chordata; Mammalia; Carnivora; Felidae
Description: lncRNA (ENSFCAG00000044512.2)
Source: RNAcentral
UCUACCUUUUGGCUCUAUGCUUCUAUACUUCUCUGUUCCCUUUGUGACCUCAUCACAUGUGUCCUUACUGGUUUCACAUCAGUCCUCUGCAAAAAUGUUAUUUCGAUGAACGCAAGGCCGAGACUAUCUUGUUCACUGUCAUAUCAUCAGCCCCUAGCGAAAUGACUAAGUAUAUAGUAAGAGCUUAAGAAGUAUUUAAUGAAUUGAAUUGAAAUUGAAAUUCCAUAUUCCCUUUGUAAAAGGCAACUGUCCUUGAAAUGAGCAACACGCUAAACCAUGUUACACUAAAGCUAUAUAUUCUCAGGCAAAAUCCUAGAAGGCAAUGUUGGACAAGAAAGUUAUGUACAAAUGGUAUAAAGAAGCUUCAAACAGUAUGGAUGUCUUUGGUUGAGAUUAACUGGAUAUGGUUUCUCAUUACAAAGUUAAAACGUUGUGAAGAGGCAAGAGUGAAUGACGGCAUUACAUCACUAACCACCAGCCACCAUCUUUUGGACUGAAAUGAAUGAAAUCCAUUGAAUCAAUGAAGUCAUGUUAUACACCUCAGAAUGACAAAUUUGGGAACUGAAUCUGGAUCUGCUCUAAUGGUACUCUUUGGACUGUGUCAAAGUUUUAUGGUUCACUAAGGAGGGAUGGGGAGCAGAUAAAGAUUAUGGGAAUAAUUUUUUUUUUUUUUUUUUUUUUAGUGGCUAAGGGAACCAAAGUGUCUGAGAUGAUAUCUCUUCGCUUACUGUCUGUCAUUGGAACUCACUCUUUGAAUAUAAAGAAUGGGAAUAAGUUAUCUCUGGCUCUUUAUCAAUAAAUUCGGGUAGUCACCUGCCUUUCCUGCUACA